RNAcentral lists this transfer RNA (57 nucleotides) under Flavihumibacter fluminis. RNAcentral describes it as "tRNA-OTHER". Lineage: Bacteria; Pseudomonadati; Bacteroidota; Chitinophagia; Chitinophagales; Chitinophagaceae. The record is from RNAcentral.
GGUAGCUCAGUGGCAGAGCAAUAGCCCUUUAGCGCAGGUUCGAAUCCUGCUCACGAA